UGACAGAGUUGUAUUUGACAUUUCUAGGAGUAUGUGAUGGAAAUGAACUUUAAACAAUGGAUAGUUGAUUAUGUGAACCAGUCACUACUACAGUUGACACCUUGUGAUGUUGAAAGCAAGCGUUACGAGAGGACGUCAUUUGCAGAAUGUCUUGGGGAAUUGAAUAUGAAUUGGCACCAUUUGCAAGGGACUCUGAAUGAAAAGAUAAAGGAGUUGGAGCACAUUUUGGAAUCUGUUGUUAAAAAU
Pseudonaja textilis is the source of this 246-nucleotide non-coding RNA. The record is from RefSeq and is a predicted model, not a curated record. NCBI's taxonomy places the organism in Eukaryota, Metazoa, Chordata, Lepidosauria, Squamata, Elapidae.